UCCAAAUUUCUGAUACAGGACAAUUCUUGG
This 30-nucleotide non-coding RNA is filed under the name Mus musculus (house mouse). Lineage: Eukaryota; Metazoa; Chordata; Mammalia; Rodentia; Muridae. The record is from RNAcentral.